RNAcentral lists this unclassified non-coding RNA (379 nucleotides) under uncultured fungus. Its description in RNAcentral is "partial contains small subunit ribosomal RNA, internal transcribed spacer 1, and 5.8S ribosomal RNA". The stretch from base 1 to 73 matches the Rfam family "Eukaryotic small subunit ribosomal RNA", at positions 1759 to 1831 of the family's 1831-position model. Lineage: Eukaryota; Fungi. The record is from RNAcentral.
GCAAACUUGGUCAUUUAGAGGAAGUAAAAGUCGUAACAAGGUUUCCGUAGGUGAACCUGCGGAAGGAUCAUUAUUGAAUAAGCUUGGUUAGGUUGAUGCUGGCUUUUCUCUGAAAAGCAUGUGCACGCCUAUUCCAUAGUUCAAACCCCUGUGCACCUUGUGUAGACCUGAACAACAACUUUCAAGAGAAGCUUUCUCUUGGUUUUCAGGAUUGCUGUGUUGAAAAUCCAGCUUUCCUGUGCGUUCCGUGUCUAUGUUUCAUUGUAUACACCCUUUUACGAAUGUAUCAGAAUGUUAUCAAUAGGCUUUCAUACCUAUAAGAACAAAUAUAACUUUCAACAACGGAUCUCUUGGCUCUCGCAUCGAUGAAGAACGCAGC